GACGAACGCUGGCGGCGUGCUUAACACAUGCAAGUCGAACGGAAAGGCCCUGCUUGUGUGGGGUGCUCGAGUGGCGAACGGGUGAGUAACACGUGAGUAACCUGCCCUUGACUUUGGGAUAACUUCAGGAAACUGGGGCUAAUACCGGAUAGGAGCUCCUGCUGCAUGGUGGGGGUUGGAAAGUUUCGGCCGUUGGGGUUGGAUGCGCGGCUUACCAGCUUGUUGGUGGGGUAGGGGCUUACCAAGCCUUGGACGGGUAGCCGGCUGGAGAGGGUGACCGGCCACCUUGGGACUGAGAUACGGCCCAGACUCCUACGGGAGGCAGCAGUGGGGAAUCUUGCACAGUGGGCGGAAGCCUGAUGCAGAAACGCCGCGUGCGGGAUGACGGCCUUCGGGUUGUAAACCGCUUUCGCCUGUGACGAAGCGUGAGUGACGGUACUGGGUAAAGAAGCACCGGCUAACUACGUG
This 468-nucleotide ribosomal RNA is filed under the name uncultured bacterium. Its description in RNAcentral is "partial 16S ribosomal RNA". It matches the Rfam family "Bacterial small subunit ribosomal RNA", at positions 28 to 507 of the family's 1533-position model. The record is from RNAcentral.